Molecule: ribosomal RNA, 497 nt
Filed under: uncultured bacterium
Lineage: Bacteria
Description: partial 16S ribosomal RNA
Rfam family: Bacterial small subunit ribosomal RNA
Source: RNAcentral
GACGAACGCUGGCGGCGUGCUUAACACAUGCAAGUCGAGCGAACAGACGAGGAGCUUGCUUCUCUGACGUUAGCGGCGGACGGGUGAGUAACACGUGGAUAACCUACCUAUAAGACUGGGAUAACUUCGGGAAACCGGAGCUAAUACCGGAUAAUAUAUUGAACCGCAUGGUUCAAUAGUGAAAGACGGUUUUGCCGUCACUUAUAGAUGGAUCCGCGCCGCAUUAGCUAGUUGGUAAGGUAACGGCUUACCAAGGCAACGAUGCGUAGCCGACCUGAGAGGGUGAUCGGCCACACUGGAACUGAGACACGGUCCAGACUCCUACGGGAGGCAGCAGUAGGGAAUCUUCCGCAAUGGGCGAAAGCCUGACGGAGCAACGCCGCGUGAGUGAUGAAGGUCUUCGGAUCGUAAAACUCUGUUAUUAGGGAAGAACAAAUGUGUAAGUAACUAUGCACGUCUUGACGGUACCUAAUCAGAAAGCCACGGCUAACUACGUG